RNAcentral lists this ribosomal RNA (253 nucleotides) under uncultured prokaryote. RNAcentral describes it as "partial 16S ribosomal RNA". It matches the Rfam family "Bacterial small subunit ribosomal RNA", at positions 524 to 776 of the family's 1533-position model. The record is from RNAcentral.
UACAGAGGGUGCAAGCGUUAAUCGGAAUUACUGGGCGUAAAGCGUGCGUAGACGGUUUCGUAAGUCGGGUGUGAAAGCCCCGGGCUCAACCUGGGAAUUGCAUUCGAGACUGCGGAGCUAGGGUGCGGAAGAGGGAAGCGGAAUUUCCGGUGUAGCGGUGAAAUCCGUAGAUAUUCGGAAGAACACCAGUGGCGAAGGCGACUUACUGGACACAUAUUGACGCUGAGGUGCGAAAGCGUGGGGAGCAAACAGG